CUGCAGCCAAUUAAGCCGACCAUGCUCUUUUACCCGUGGGGGCUUGGUGUGCAAUGGUUGCAAACAGUAACAUCCUCGGUUGUGUAUGUAGCCUAUUGCUAGUAUGGGUUGCUUUAAGGGACCUUGGAUACAGCC
This is a small nucleolar RNA of Molossus molossus (Pallas's mastiff bat), 135 nucleotides long. RefSeq annotates it as small nucleolar RNA SNORA70. The record is from RefSeq and is a predicted model, not a curated record. The transcript has a single exon. NCBI's taxonomy places the organism in Eukaryota, Metazoa, Chordata, Mammalia, Chiroptera, Molossidae.